ACAUGUUUCAAUUCUUUGGAAUUGAAAUUGAAAAUUAGUUCAAUAAGAAAGUCAAGUAAUUUCAUUUUGUUAUAAGGCACAAAAUAUGAUUCCCACAUUUUUUAAUGAGAAUGAAAUUAUACAUGAAACAACUACAACUUACUCUUUUGAGUUGAACGGUAAAGAAAAAUAAAAUAAAAAUAAAGAACCUUUUGCCGAGCUAGUUGUUACAGUCAUGUUUAAUUUCGGCAUUGCGUCUCAUUAGUGGGGGAAUUCAAUUAAUUGAUUGUUUUUUGCUAAAUAGAGUGCCUAAGUGCAAGAACAAAAUUCACUUGUGAAAUUUUGUAGAAAAGACAAUUUAACUUGUCUUAUUUUUUGAACUUG
This 363-nucleotide long non-coding RNA is filed under the name Trifolium pratense (red clover). RNAcentral describes it as "long non-coding RNA (TPRA_LNC005601)". The record is from RNAcentral. Lineage: Eukaryota; Viridiplantae; Streptophyta; Magnoliopsida; Fabales; Fabaceae.